UAGGGAAUCUUCGGCAAUGGGGGUAACCCUGACCGAGCAACGCCGCGUGAGUGAAGAAGGUUUUCGGAUCGUAAAGCUCUGUUGUAAGUCAAGAACGGGUGUGAGAGUGGAAAGUUCACACUGUGACGGUAGCUUACCAGAAAGGGACGGCUAACUACGUGCCAGCAGCCGCGGUAAUACGUAGGUCCCGAGCGUUGUCCGGAUUUAUUGGGCGUAAAGCGAGCGCAGGCGGUUUGAUAAGUCUGAAGUUAAAGGCUGUGGCUCAACCAUAGUUCGCUUUGGAAACUGUCAAACUUGAGUGCAGAAGGGGAGAGUGGAAUUCCAUGUGUAGCGGUGAAAUGCGUAGAUAUAUGGAGGAACACCGGUGGCGAAAGCGGCUCUCUGGUCUGUAACUGACGCUGAGGCUCGAAAGCGUGGGGAGCGAACAGGAUUAGAUACCCUGGUAGUCCACGCCGUAAACGAUGAGUGCUAGGUGUUGGAUCCUUUCCGGGAUUCAGUGCCGCAGCUAACGCAUUAAGCACCCCGCCUGGGGAGUACGACCGCAAGGUUGAA
This 552-nucleotide ribosomal RNA is filed under the name uncultured bacterium. Its description in RNAcentral is "partial 16S ribosomal RNA". It matches the Rfam family "Bacterial small subunit ribosomal RNA", at positions 355 to 898 of the family's 1533-position model. The record is from RNAcentral.